Molecule: ribosomal RNA, 493 nt
Filed under: uncultured Sphingobacteriales bacterium
Lineage: Bacteria; Pseudomonadati; Bacteroidota; Sphingobacteriia; Sphingobacteriales
Description: bacterial SSU rRNA
Rfam family: Bacterial small subunit ribosomal RNA
Source: RNAcentral
GCCCGCUCAAGAACUCAAAGGAAUUGACGGGGCCCGCACAAGCGGAGAGCAUGUGGUUUAAUUCGAUGAUACGCGAGGAACCUUACCUGGGCUCGAACGUAAGAUGACUGUAGGUGAAAGCUUACAUCUCUUCGGAGCAUUUUACGAGGUGCUGCAUGGUUGUCGUCAGCUCGUGCCGUGAGGUGUCGGGUUAAGUCCCAUAACGAGCGCAACCCCUACCUUUAGUUGCCAUCAGGUAAUGCUGGGGACUCUAAAGGAACUGCCUACGCAAGUAGUGAGGAAGGCGGGGAUGACGUCAAAUCAGCACGGCCCUUACGUCCAGGGCUACACACGUGCUACAAUGGCCGAUACAGAGGGCAGCUACCUGGUGACAGGAUGCAAAUCUCCAAAGUCGGUCUCAGUUCGGAUCGGAGUCUGCAACCCGACUCCGUGAAGUUGGAUUCGCUAGUAAUCGCGCAUCAGCCAUGGCGCGGUGAAUACGUUCCCGGGCCUU